Molecule: long non-coding RNA, 1182 nt
Filed under: Monodelphis domestica (gray short-tailed opossum)
Lineage: Eukaryota; Metazoa; Chordata; Mammalia; Didelphimorphia; Didelphidae
Description: lncRNA (ENSMODG00000044349.1)
Source: RNAcentral
CAUAGCUCACUGUUACAUGUAUUUGGAUAAGUGAGUUUAUUGUUUGAUUUAAUUUUCAUUGUAAAAACUUAUGCAAUGUUGUGUUUAUUGUGAUUUUCAAAUUUUUUUCUCUAAGUUUAAUGUUAAUGUACUAUAAUACUAGUACAUUAUUCUGUUUUAGCUGAUAAGAGUAUGUUAAGUUUGAUAUUUGCAAGGAAGUUAUAUUCAUCUUUUGUUUGAUGUUAUUUACUGUUUUGAUUUGUCUUCUGUUUGACUUUUGUACUUGUUCAUUAUUUACUUUGUUUUCCUUUUCCUUUUCUCCUUGUUACAAUUCCUUAGACUAGGUUAGAGUAAGAUAGUUGAGUGUAGGUUGUUUGUUAUUUGGGUAGAUUUCUUAGUUUAGGUAACUGGUAAGUAUUUUAGAUUUGUGCAAUAGGGGGGGAAUGUGAUAAAGGAUGGAAAGGUUUGCAAUGUGCAAAACUGCAAGAACUGAAUAGUGCAAACCUAGGAAUGAUUGACAGUGGCAUGUGACCAAGGGUCACAUGGGAGCCUGAGCUGGAGGAUCUGGGAAGACUCCAUCUUGCCCCAACAGACUCUUCUUCUGGUCUCCUGAGGAAGUCAAGAGGAAGGUCUGAAGAGGAUUUUCCCUGUGUUGAACUGAGGAAAGGUUCCUGUAUCAUUCAGUCUCACUUGGACAUCAGGACUUGCUUGGACAUCUAACAACAACAGAUCCUGGCUCUAACUGCUUUUUGGACCCCUGCUGAGUGAAAGAGUACUGGAGAUAGCUAUCACCUCAUGUGCUUUUCAAGGUCAAGAAGGACAAGAAUAUCAAGGGUGAGAUUGGGAGACACAAGAUUACAGCCAAGAAGAAAUGAGAAGUAUGCCAUAUCAGAAAGAAGAGAAACUCCGAGCUUCCCAGCCUGUUAUGUUGUGCCAAUCAGCCUGCAUUCCUCAGACUACAUUAGCAACAUGCCAAUAAUUCAGUGCUCCCAAGAUGUGUGACGGGUUUUCACAACACAUUUUUAUGAGUAAACUCACGCUUUCCUCUCCUCCUGUGUCAGAGACUGAAUGACUCAUAGGAACCAAAAUUAAAAGCUGGAUGGAAACUGGGGGAUCAUCAACUAUUACCCCUUUCUGAUACAGAUGCUUGCUCAAGGUCAUAUAGAAAAUAAAUGGAUUAGAGAGGAUUUGAACUUAAGUCCA